Molecule: ribosomal RNA, 468 nt
Filed under: uncultured bacterium
Lineage: Bacteria
Description: partial 16S ribosomal RNA
Rfam family: Bacterial small subunit ribosomal RNA
Source: RNAcentral
GACGAACGCUGGCGGCGUGCUUAACACAUGCAAGUCGAACGGAAAGGCCCUGCUUUUGUGGGGUUCUCGAGUGGCGAACGGGUGAGUAACACGUGAGUAACCUGCCCUUGACUUUGGGAUAACUUCAGGAAACUGGGGCUAAUACCGGAUAUGAGCUCCUGCUGCAUGGUGGGGGUUGGAAAGUUUCGGCGGUUGUGGAUGGACUCGCGGCUUAUCAGCUUGUUGGUGGGGUAGUGGCUUACCAAGGCUUUGACGGGUAGCCGGCCUGGGAGGGGGACCGGCGACAUUGGGACUGAGAGAGGGAGCAGAAGCGUACGGGAGGCAGCAGGGGGGAAUAUGGCACAAUGGGCGGAAGUGUGAGGCAGAGACGCUGCGUGCGGGAAGACGGCCUUCGGGGUGAAAACAGCUGUCGCAGGUGACGAAGCGUGAGUGACGGUAAUGGGUAAAGAAGCACCGGCUAACUACGUG